UUCAAUUUCUUUCUCUGCAGAGAUGAAGUGGAAUCUUUCUUCAAUCUGGAGUCUCUAAUUUCGUCAAAGCAAAGAUGAAAACAAAUACAUAUAAGACAGCCCUGAAAUCCAAAUAUAGAGGAAACAAGAAGCUGAAAACAGAAAGAACAAGAAGCUGAAUACAGUAGAGAAGUGCAGAGCAAUAGGUACGCGCAGAGAAAUUCAGAGCAACAAGUAUGUAGAUUGCAAAAAAUGCAGACCAACAGGUGCAGAGAAAUAUAGACUGUGACAAAUAUUUUUAGAUGUCAAAUAUUUGAGCUUCAAGUCCCAAUAUUUAUUUAUUUCAAAUAUUUGUUUAAUGAUGUGCUCCACCUGUUUUUUAAAAGAACAGAAUCAGUAAAUUUUUCAGAAAUUGUUGUUUCUUUUGAGAUACGAGUUUAACAAUAUGAACAAUUUGAAGAA
Long non-coding RNA from Quercus robur (English oak), 441 nucleotides. RefSeq lists it as uncharacterized. The transcript has 2 exons. The record is from RefSeq and is a predicted model, not a curated record. NCBI's taxonomy places the organism in Eukaryota, Viridiplantae, Streptophyta, Magnoliopsida, Fagales, Fagaceae.